Long non-coding RNA from Polistes dominula (European paper wasp), 773 nucleotides. The record is from RefSeq and is a predicted model, not a curated record. Lineage: Eukaryota; Metazoa; Arthropoda; Insecta; Hymenoptera; Vespidae.
CGUAAAAUCGGAACAUCGAAAAUCGAAAAUCACUAGUUGAACCCUAACUUACCCGUUUGCAAAAUUUGAUGACUAAAAAAAAAGGGUCAUCAAGUUUUCGAAAUUCCAAAUUGGACAGUGAUAAUUACCGGAAAAUCGAAAAUUAUCGCACAGGCUGAAUUUUGGAUCGUACAAAGCUUCAAAUUAUCGUAUGCGUACGAUUACGUUAAUCACGAAACCUAUGUGGUUUUCCAAUGAACCAUUUUCCUGAGAGUAGUUCAGCGAACGUGUUACGAGAGGCAGCACUCGUAGUAGGGACAAACAAAAAAAAUUUCCAUUUAAGACAGUGUUAUUUACGCUAUAUUAUUUUAUUAUUUAAAAAUAAUAAUUAAACACAAAAAAAUUUUUUUAAUAACCACUAUGCCAACGAAACAUUGUAGUUUUGCGAGGUGUACGUCGGAUAAUCGCUAUCCAGAGGAAAAUAUGUUUUUUAUACCAUUUGUAAAAUCUCAUAUUGACGAGGUGUUAGAUACAAUAAAUGGAUACAUGCAUCAAGGAGAGUGGAUUUAACAGUAGAAAAAAUUAAUAAAUAUUCAUAUGUGUGCUCAAAACAUUUUAUCGGUGGAAAAGGUCCAACUGUAGAAAAUCCUGAUCCUGUUUCUGCAACGAUUAGCAAAGUACCAAAGGCACGAAAAAAACGACUUUCAACAUCAACAAUUGAUUUUCUGUGCAGUCGAGACCAAAAAUCAAAAAGAGGCAAAGAUGCUAACUCAGAUUUUUUCAUUCCAAGUCAA